GAGAUGGGCACGCACCUGACCUGCUAACUCAGUCCCCCAGAGCUAAACCUUUGGCCAUCCCA
This 62-nucleotide transfer RNA is filed under the name Cnemaspis limi. RNAcentral's name for it is "tRNA-Ser". Lineage: Eukaryota; Metazoa; Chordata; Lepidosauria; Squamata; Gekkonidae. The record is from RNAcentral.